CUACGGGUUGCUGCAGUGGGGAAUCUUAGACAAUGGGGGAAACCCUGAUCUAGCCAUGCCGCGUGAGCGACGACGGCCCUAGGGUUGUAAAGCUCUUUCAGCAGGGAAGAUAAUGACGGUACCUGCAGAAGAAGUCCCGGCUAACUCCGUGCCAGCAGCCGCGGUAAUACGGAGGGGACUAGCGUUGUUCGGAAUUACUGGGCGUAAAGCGCGCGUAGGCGGAUUGUUAAGUCGGGGGUGAAAUCCCGGGGCUCAACCCCGGAACUGCCCUCGAUACUGGCAGUCUUGAGUUCGAGAGAGGUGAGUGGAAUUACGAGUGUAGAGGUGAAAUUCGUAGAUAUUCGGAGGAACACCAGUGGCGAAGGCGGCUCACUGGCUCGAUACUGACGCUGAGGUGCGAAAGCGUGGGGAGCAAACAGGAUUAGAUACCCCCGUAGUC
Molecule: ribosomal RNA, 439 nt
Filed under: uncultured bacterium
Lineage: Bacteria
Description: partial 16S ribosomal RNA
Rfam family: Bacterial small subunit ribosomal RNA
Source: RNAcentral